GACGAACGCUGGCGGCGUGCUUAACACAUGCAAGUCGAACGGAAAGGCCCUGCUUUUGUGGGGUGCUCGAGUGGCGAACGGGUGAGUAACACGUGAGUAACCUGCCCUUGACUUUGGGAUAACUUCAGGAAACUGGGGCUAAUACCGGAUAGGAGCUCCUGCUGCAUGGUGGGGGUUGGAAAGUUUCGGCGGUUGGGGAUGGACUCGCGGAUUAUCAGCUUGUUGGUGGGGUAGUGGCUUACCAAGGCUUUGACGGGUAGCCGGCCUGAGAGGGUGACCGGCCACAUUGGGACUGAGAUACGGCCCAGAAUCCUACGGGAGGCAGCAGUGGGGAAUAUUGCACAAUGGGCGGAAGCCUGAUGCAGCAACGCCGCGUGCGGGAUGACGGCCUUCGGGUUGUAAACCGCUUUCGCCUGUGACGAAGCGUGAGUGACGGUAAUGGGUAAAGAAGCACCGGCUAACUACGUG
This 468-nucleotide ribosomal RNA is filed under the name uncultured bacterium. RNAcentral describes it as "partial 16S ribosomal RNA". It matches the Rfam family "Bacterial small subunit ribosomal RNA", at positions 28 to 507 of the family's 1533-position model. The record is from RNAcentral.